GGAUGAGCCCGCGGCCUAUCAGCUUGUUGGUGGGGUAAUGGCCUACCAAGGCGGCGACGGGUAGCCGGCCUGAGAGGGUGUACGGCCACAUUGGGACUGAGAUACGGCCCAGACUCCUACGGGAGGCAGCAGUGGGGAAUAUUGCACAAUGGGCGCAAGCCUGAUGCAGCGACGCCGCGUGGGGGAUGAAGGCCUUCGGGUUGUAAACUCCUUUCGCUAGGGACGAAGCUUUGUUGUGACGGUACCUAGAUAAGAAGCACCGGCUAACUACGUGCCAGCAGCCGCGGUAAUACGUAGGGUGCGAGCGUUGUCCGGAAUUACUGGGCGUAAAGGGCUCGUAGGUGGUUUGUCGCGUCGUCUGUGAAAUUCUGGGGCUUAACUCCGGGCGUGCAGGCGAUACGGGCAUAACUUGAAUGCUGUAGGGGUAAAUGGU
This 433-nucleotide ribosomal RNA is filed under the name uncultured bacterium. Its description in RNAcentral is "bacterial SSU rRNA". It matches the Rfam family "Bacterial small subunit ribosomal RNA", at positions 223 to 665 of the family's 1533-position model. The record is from RNAcentral.